Molecule: unclassified non-coding RNA, 311 nt
Organism: Fukomys damarensis (Damara mole-rat)
Lineage: Eukaryota; Metazoa; Chordata; Mammalia; Rodentia; Bathyergidae
Gene: 7SK
Rfam family: 7SK RNA
About the family: 7SK was discovered as an abundant small nuclear RNA in the mid-70s but a possible function has only recently been suggested.
Source: Ensembl
GGGUAGUCUGGCUGCAACACCUGUCACCCAGGGACCACGGGAUGGCUUAGCAGUGUCCCUUCGGCUGGCAUCACUCCAUGUGGGUCCCUGCUGCCCUGAAUCGUGCUAGGUCAAAGAGGGUGACCUUCCCCAGAAGAGAAGGCCCAUUCUUCCAAGAAGGAGACCUCUGGGCCCCUGCUAGGACCUCCACACAUGCUCUCAAGGAAACAGGUGCAAUGUGAGAAACUCAGGGCAUUCUGGUGCUAAAAUGUUAUGUGAAGAGGGAAAAGGAAAGGCAGCAAGAAGAGCAAAUUAGUGGGUAACCUUGCUUC